Molecule: transfer RNA, 72 nt
Rfam family: tRNA
About the family: Transfer RNA (tRNA) molecules are approximately 80 nucleotides in length. Their secondary structure includes four short double-helical elements and three loops (D, anti-codon, and T loops).
Source: Rfam
GGGGUUAUAGUUUAACUGGUAAAACGGCGAUUUUGCAUAUCGUUAUUUCAGGAUCGAGUCCUGAUUACUCCA